UACGUAGGGGGCAAGCGUUGUCCGGAUUUAUUGGGCGUAAAGAGCUCGUAGGCGGCUGGUCACGUCGGGUGUGAAAGCUCAGAGCUCAACUCUGAGAGGCCAUUCGAUACGGAUCAGCUAGAGGUAGGUAGGGGAAAGUGGAAUUCCUGGUGUAGCGGUGAAAUGCGCAGAUAUCAGGAGGAACACCGGUGGCGAAGGCGGCUUUCUGGGCCUUACCUGACGCUGAGGAGCGAAAGCUGGGGGAGCGAAC
RNAcentral lists this ribosomal RNA (250 nucleotides) under uncultured bacterium. RNAcentral's name for it is "partial 16S ribosomal RNA". It matches the Rfam family "Bacterial small subunit ribosomal RNA", at positions 524 to 773 of the family's 1533-position model. The record is from RNAcentral.